Molecule: non-coding RNA, 172 nt
Filed under: Sporomusaceae bacterium
Lineage: Bacteria; Bacillati; Bacillota; Negativicutes; Selenomonadales; Sporomusaceae
Description: 6S RNA
Rfam family: 6S / SsrS RNA
About the family: E. coli 6S RNA was the first non coding RNA to be sequenced, but its function was unknown until recently.
Source: RNAcentral
UCUAGUCUGGGAUAUACGUGACUCACAUAUGUCCAACCUAUGGUACACCUACGGGAGCUUGAUAUUGUACCGCUGCCGGACCGUCUUCGAACGGAUGGCAAACUUGCAGUUACGGCGCCCACCUGCUGAGCGCAGGUUUGGACAUAUACGGGAACGCUAUUUCGGACUUGCG